CCUACGGGAGGCAGCAGUGAGGAAUAUUGGUCAAUGGGCGCGAGCCUGAACCAGCCAAGUAGCGUGAAGGAUGACUGCCCUAUGGGUUGUAAACUUCUUUUAUAUGGGAAUAAAGUGAAGCACGUGUGCGGUUUUGUAUGUACCUUAUGAAUAAGGAUCGGCUAACUCCGUGCCAGCAGCCGCGGUAAUACGGAGGAUCCGAGCGUUAUCCGGAUUUAUUGGGUUUAAAGGGAGCGUAGAUGGGUUGUUAAGUCAGUUGUGAAAGUUUGCGGCUCAACCGUAAAAUUGCAGUUGAUACUGGCAGCCUUGAGUACAGUAGAGGUAGGCGGAAUUCGUGGUGUAGCGGUGAAAUGCUUAGAUAUCACGAAGAACUCCGAUUGCGAAGGCAGCUUACUGGACUGCAACUGACACUGAGGCUCGAAAGUGUGGGUAUCAAACAGGAUUAGAUACCCUAGUAGUC
This 460-nucleotide ribosomal RNA is filed under the name uncultured bacterium. RNAcentral's name for it is "partial 16S ribosomal RNA". It matches the Rfam family "Bacterial small subunit ribosomal RNA", at positions 338 to 795 of the family's 1533-position model. The record is from RNAcentral.